CAGAGUAUCUUAACAGUUCUAAGGAGAAGAACUAAAAAGCCAGAAUCGAGGGAAAUCUACAUCCACAGAAGCCAAGGAAAUGAAGGACAUUUUGAACAAUAUAUGUAGCUGAAUUUCAAGACGUAUUUAGCAUCGCGAAGUAGAUAGGAUACCCGUGAAUCUGUGUUCAGCCAACAAACCCGAGGUUACCUAUAUAAAUCUAUCUACUUAUUCCAAUUCCUGCUGUAAAAGAAAUCCAGUUACCAGCUUCCGAAUCGAGGGAAAUCUACAUUCACAGAAACCAAGGAAAUGAAGGACAUUUUGAACAAUAUCUGUAACUGAAUUUCAAGACGUAUUUAGCAUGCAGAAGUAGAUAGGAUACCCGUGAAUCUGUGUUCAGCCAACAAACCAGAAAUUACUUCUAUAGAUCUAUCUACUUAUUCUAAUUCCUGCUGAAAAAGAAAUCCAGUUACCAGCUUCCGGUGAGAAGACUUGGAUGAAUUGACACCACAGAGAAGGAAGAACGGAAGCCAUUGUUAUAUGGUGGUACAAUGCAUCAGCUGUUCUAUCACUUAAUUCAUACAUAUCGAAAUUUCAGAUAAGAUAUUACCUCACCAGAAUUCAUAACUAAAGCAAUAUGUUCUCUGACAUUCAGUUUUAUUACUGAUAACCCAAUGUUACUGUAAAUUGAUUCAUUUUCCCCCAAAGGUGUACAAAUGUUAAAUUCUUCAUUGCUUUUUUAGCUCACCUGAGUCGAUGGCGAGCUUUUCUGAUCAAAAUGUGUCCCUUGUCCAUCGUCGUUAUUGACGUUCUCCUCGUCGUAAACUUUCCUCAUUUUCAUAUUCUUUUCCAGAACCACUGGGCAAAUUUCAACCAAACUUGGCACAGAGGACCUUUGGGUAAAGGGGAUUUAAAUUUUUAAA
Ostrea edulis (European flat oyster) is the source of this 902-nucleotide long non-coding RNA. RefSeq lists it as uncharacterized. The record is from RefSeq and is a predicted model, not a curated record. NCBI's taxonomy places the organism in Eukaryota, Metazoa, Mollusca, Bivalvia, Ostreida, Ostreidae. The transcript is spliced from 6 exons.